GACGAACGCUGGCGGCGUGCUUAACACAUACAAGUCGAACGGAAAGGCCCUGCUUUUGUGGGGUGCUCGAGUGGCGAACGGGUGAGUAACACGUGAGUAACCUGCCCUUGACUUUGGGAUAACUUCAGGAAACUGGGGCUAAUACCGGAUAGGAGCUCCUGCUGCAUGGUGGGGGUUGGAAAGUUUCGGCGGUUGGGGAUGGACUCGCGGCUUAUCAGCUUGUUGGUGGGGUAGUGGCUUACCAAGGCUUUGACGGGUAGCCGGCCUGAGAGGGUGACCGGCCACAUUGGGACUGAGAUACGGCCCAGACUCCUACGGGAGGCAGCAGUGGGGAAUAGUGCACAAUGGGCGGAAGCCUGAUGCAGCAACGCCGCGUGCGGGAUGACGGCCUUCGGGUUGUAAACCGCUUUCGCCUGUGACGAAGCGUGAGUGACGGUAAUGGGUAAAGAAGCACCGGCUAACUACGUG
RNAcentral lists this ribosomal RNA (468 nucleotides) under uncultured bacterium. RNAcentral's name for it is "partial 16S ribosomal RNA". It matches the Rfam family "Bacterial small subunit ribosomal RNA", at positions 28 to 507 of the family's 1533-position model. The record is from RNAcentral.